RNAcentral lists this long non-coding RNA (279 nucleotides) under Lotus japonicus. RNAcentral describes it as "long non-coding RNA (LJAP_LNC001816)". The record is from RNAcentral. Lineage: Eukaryota; Viridiplantae; Streptophyta; Magnoliopsida; Fabales; Fabaceae.
ACGUCACGGUUGGCGAAGACGGUGUCGUGGUCCUUGAGCACGUGACGGGCCAUGGAAGAUGAGGUGACCACGAUGGCAAGCUUGCUUCCGAGCCAGAGCUUGAAAAUCGGGCCAUGGGUUCGGGCCAACCUGGCGAAGUAAGUGUGAAGUUCCGGGUCGAGAGAUAGAAGGUUCCCGAAGAUGGGGAGGCCCGGUGGGCCUGGUGGCAGUGGUGGGCUCUGGGCUUUCGGUUUAAGGAAGCAGAGCCGUGCGUACCAAGUGGUGGCUGAAAUGACCAAG